RNAcentral lists this ribosomal RNA (408 nucleotides) under bacterium enrichment culture clone ALO1_GLFRUDD03GGI78. Its description in RNAcentral is "bacterial SSU rRNA". It matches the Rfam family "Bacterial small subunit ribosomal RNA", at positions 9 to 416 of the family's 1533-position model. The record is from RNAcentral.
GAGUUUGAUCAUGGCUCAGAUUGAACGCUGGCGGCAUGCCUUACACAUGCAAGUCGAACGGCAGCACGGGAGCUUGCUCCUGGUGGCGAGUGGCGAACGGGUGAGUAAUGCAUCGGAACGUAUCCUGGAGUGGGGGAUAACGUAGCGAAAGUUACGCUAAUACCGCAUAUUCUGUGAGCAGGAAAGCGGGGGACCUUCGGGCCUCGCGCUCUUGGAGCGGCCGAUGUCGGAUUAGCUAGUUGGUGAGGUAAAGGCUCACCAAGGCGACGAUCCGUAGCAGGUCUGAGAGGAUGAUCUGCCACACUGGAACUGAGACACGGUCCAGACUCCUACGGGAGGCAGCAGUGGGGAAUUUUGGACAAUGGGGGGCAACCCUGAUCCAGCCAUGCCGCGUGAGUGAAGAAGGCC